Molecule: long non-coding RNA, 230 nt
Filed under: Phoenix dactylifera (date palm)
Lineage: Eukaryota; Viridiplantae; Streptophyta; Magnoliopsida; Arecales; Arecaceae
Description: long non-coding RNA (PDAC_LNC010697)
Source: RNAcentral
AAAGGUUUUUCUGGCUCAUUUUCAGGGAUUGGAACCUUAAAGUGUUUGAACAGUAGGGUGAAGACCAUCCCAUAUCGUAUGCUAAAUCUGGAAUACCUAUGACAUAUGGAGAUGUAGUUCAACAUGAGCCUAGGGAGGUUUAGGAGAAUCCCUAGCAAGAUGUGGUGCAUAAUGGCUAAGUCUCGCUCCGAAACGAAAUCGAAGCGACCGGUUUUUGGGAACAAGACCCU